This 466-nucleotide ribosomal RNA is filed under the name uncultured bacterium. RNAcentral's name for it is "bacterial SSU rRNA". It matches the Rfam family "Bacterial small subunit ribosomal RNA", at positions 917 to 1382 of the family's 1533-position model. The record is from RNAcentral.
GGGCCCGCACAAGCGGUGGAGCAUGUUGUUUAAUUCGAUGCAACGCGAAGAACCUUACCACCCCUUGACAUCCUCGGAACUUGUCAGAGAUGACUUGGUGCCUUCGGGAACCGAGAGACAGGUGCUGCAUGGCUGUCGUCAGCUCGUGUCGUGAGAUGUUGGGUUAAGUCCCGUAACGAGCGCAACCCUUGUCCCUAUUUGCCAGCGGGUCAUGCCGGGAACUCUAGGGAGACUGCCGGUGACAAACCGGAGGAAGGUGGGGAUGACGUCAAGUCAUCAUGGCCCUCACGGGGUGGGCUACAAACGUGCUACAAUGGCGCGUACAAAGGGCUGCUAUCCCGCGAGGGGGAGCAAAUCCCAAAAAACGCGUCGUAGUCCGGAUUGGGGUCUGCAACUCGACCCCAUGAAGUCGGAAUCGCUAGUAAUCGCGGAUCAGAAUGCCGCGGUGAAUACGUUCCCGGGCCUU